Molecule: non-coding RNA, 75 nt
Organism: Haemonchus contortus (barber pole worm)
Lineage: Eukaryota; Metazoa; Nematoda; Chromadorea; Rhabditida; Trichostrongylidae
Source: Rfam
GGCCCAAAUUUGAAGUGGAGUAGAUUAGUAUGGUCACCUGACCCCACUAAUCUACUGUACUUCAAGUUUGUGCCC